GCCUACGGGAGGCAGCAGUAGGGAAUCUUCCACAAUGGGCGAAAGCCUGAUGGAGCAACGCCGCGUGGGUGAAGAAGGUCUUCGGAUCGUAAAACCCUGUUGUUAGAGAAGAAAGUGCGUGAGAGUAACUGUUCACGUUUCGACGGUAUCUAACCAGAAAGCCACGGCUAACUACGUGCCAGCAGCCGCGGUAAUACGUAGGUGGCAAGCGUUAUCCGGAUUUAUUGGGCGUAAAGGGAACGUAGGCGGUCCUUUAAGUCUGAUGUGAAAGCCUUCGGCUUAACCGGAGUAGUGCAUUGGAAACU
RNAcentral lists this ribosomal RNA (305 nucleotides) under uncultured bacterium. RNAcentral describes it as "bacterial SSU rRNA". It matches the Rfam family "Bacterial small subunit ribosomal RNA", at positions 337 to 634 of the family's 1533-position model. The record is from RNAcentral.